GACGAACGCUGGCGGCGUGCUUAACACAUGCAAGUCGAACGGAAAGGCACUGCUUUUGUCGGGUGCCCGAGUGGCGAACGGGAGAGUAACACGUGAGUAACCUGCCCUUGACUUUGGGAUAAAUUCAGGAAAAUGGGGCUAAUACCGGAUAGGAGCUCCUGAUGCAUGGCGGGGGGUGGAAAGAUUCGGCGGUUGGGGAAGGACUCGCGGCUUAGCAGCGUGUUGGUGGGGUAGUGGCGUACCAAGGCUUUGACGGGUAGCCGGCCUGAGAGGGUGACCGGACCCAUUGUGACUUAGCUCCCGCCCAGACGCCUACGGGAGGCAGCAGUCGCGAAUAUUGCACAAUGCGCUGACGCCUGAUGCAUCAACGCCGCGUGCGCGAUGACGGACUUCGGGUUGUAAACCGCUUUGCCCUGUAACGAAGCGUGAGUGACGGUAAUGUGCAAAGAAGCACCAGCUUACUACGUG
Molecule: ribosomal RNA, 468 nt
Filed under: uncultured bacterium
Lineage: Bacteria
Description: partial 16S ribosomal RNA
Rfam family: Bacterial small subunit ribosomal RNA
Source: RNAcentral